This 497-nucleotide ribosomal RNA is filed under the name uncultured bacterium. Its description in RNAcentral is "partial 16S ribosomal RNA". It matches the Rfam family "Bacterial small subunit ribosomal RNA", at positions 28 to 507 of the family's 1533-position model. The record is from RNAcentral.
GAUGAACGCUGGCGGCGUGCCUAAUACAUGCAAGUCGAGCGAACGGACGAGAAGCUUGCUUCUCUGAUGUUAGCGGCGGACGGGUGAGUAACACGUGGAUAACCUACCUAUAAGACUGGGAUAACUUCGGGAAACCGGAGCUAAUACCGGAUAAUAUUUUGAACCGCAUGGUUCAAAAGUGAAAGACGGUCUUGCUGUCACUUAUAGAUGGAUCCGCGCUGCAUUAGCUAGUUGGUAAGGUAACGGCUUACCAAGGCAACGAUGCAUAGCCGACCUGAGAGGGUGAUCGGCCACACUGGAACUGAGACACGGUCCAGACUCCUACGGGAGGCAGCAGUAGGGAAUCGUCCGCAAUGGGCGAAAGCCUGACGGAGCAGCGCCGCGUGAGUGAUGAAGGUCUUCGGAUCGUAAAACUCUGUUAGUAGGGAAGAACAUAUGUGGAAGUAACGGUGCACAUCGUGACGGUACCUAAUCAGAAAGCCACGGCUAACUACGUG